UGCUGAUUUCAGUUGUUUGGACUACGGAUUUCCAAGAAGAGGAAGACUUGGUUGCUGGUUUCAGGAGAUUUAGGGCUUAAAUAGAAUGGAGGGAGAAGGACGGCGGAAGAAGGACUCGAGGGAGAAGAAUCGGUUGACUCACCCAUCGACUUCUCAUUCACACACAAAGAGAGACAGAGGAGGGGAGAGAACUGGUGCUGCGUGAGUGCUCUCCUCCAGUUUACGAUUCUGAAGUUUCUUCUCUUGGAACCGUUUGUUGUUCCUGUCACUUCUUCUGGUGUUGCUGCGGCUCCAUCGCCAUGGGAGAAAGACAAAGGAGGGGAGACAACUCAGACCCACGAUAUCGUUCAUCUUCUUCGGGUUGGAUGUUCAUCUGAGAAUCGAAAGAAUCUCAUUCCCAUGUUUGUUCGUGGGUCUGCGUGAGUGCUCUGUUGGGAUCAACAAACCUUACCAUCGGUCAUCUUCUUCCCAUAACUUGAGGUGCAUAAUGUCGGUGGAUCCUCUCCAAUUGGACAUUAUAUGAAGGAUCUCAGAAAAAAGAGCAAUGCAUGGUGAGAACAACCCACCUUCUAGGGCGUGGACAUAUUCUAGUAUGUCUAGAAAUUUGGAGGGUGAAUAUGAAUCUACUGAUAGUGGAGACGUUGGAGGGCAAGCCAUGGUUAGUAAUGUUGUAGAUGAUUCAAUAUUGUCAAUUGGAGCAUCCAUUGAUAAAGAUAUAUCAAGUACAGACAUUGUUCUAUAUGAUCAAUCCAAUCACGUUUCAGAGUUGAUCUGGA
Molecule: long non-coding RNA, 776 nt
Organism: Macadamia integrifolia
Lineage: Eukaryota; Viridiplantae; Streptophyta; Magnoliopsida; Proteales; Proteaceae
Exons: 3
Source: RefSeq, a predicted model, not a curated record